UGAUUCAACAACCACAGAGGCAGAAACCACAACACCAUGGUGGUGGUGGACAACAGAUUCAACAACAACAGAGGCAACAACCGCAACUCCAUGAUGGUGG
This is a long non-coding RNA of Branchiostoma floridae (Florida lancelet), 100 nucleotides long. RefSeq lists it as uncharacterized. Lineage: Eukaryota; Metazoa; Chordata; Leptocardii; Amphioxiformes; Branchiostomatidae. The record is from RefSeq and is a predicted model, not a curated record. The transcript has 3 exons.